This 441-nucleotide ribosomal RNA is filed under the name uncultured bacterium. RNAcentral's name for it is "partial 16S ribosomal RNA". It matches the Rfam family "Bacterial small subunit ribosomal RNA", at positions 338 to 795 of the family's 1533-position model. The record is from RNAcentral.
CCUACGGGUGGCAGCAGUAGGGAAUUUUGCGCAAUGGUCGAAAGCCUGACGCAGCAACGCCGCGUGAUUGAUUAAGGCCUUCGGGGCGUAAAGAUCUGUCAAUGGGGACGAAAAUUGAUGGUACCCACUGAGGAAGCAUCGGCUAACUCUGUGCCAGCAGCCGCGGCAAUACGCAGGGUGCAAGCGUUGUUCGGAAGGAUUGGGCGUAAAGAGUUCGUAGGUGGGUUAUUAAGUCUGUAGUUAAAGACUGAAGCUCAACUUUGGUACGGCACUGGAUACUGGUAAGCGUGAAUGCGAGAGAGGAAAGGAGAAUUCCUGGUGUAGCGGUGAAAUGCGUAGAUAUCAGGAGGAACAUCGGUGGCGAAGGCGCUUUACUGGCCCGUAACUGACACUGAGGAGCGAAAGCCGGGGUAGCAAACGGGAUUAGAUACCCGAGUAGUC